AGACGGCGGCCCAGCAGAGGAGCGGAAAGCGUGGUCCGCGGGGCGGCGGACGCCUGGUAGGCGCUCGGGCCGCUGUUGUGGGGCUGCGCGCUGGCGCUGCAGGGCGGGAUGCUGUACCCAAGAGAGAGGCCGUCGCGGGAGCGGAAGAAGCUGGACCGCCUCUGGAGCUUCCGCGCCGACUUCUUCGACAAACUGUGCCUUGGCUUCUAGGAGUAGUGGUAUCGGCGUCUGCUGCGAGAGUCGGGCUCCACCCUGGACAUACCGGUUCCCUCCAGCUUCAACGACGUUGGCCAGGACUGGCGGCUGCGGCAUUUUGUAGACCAGAUGUGGUACGAACGGGAGGUGACCCUCCUGGAGCAGUGGACCCAGGACCUGCACACAAGAGUGGUACUGAGGAUUGUCAGUACCCACUCCUAUGCCAUCGUGUGGGUGAAUGGGGUCGACACGCUAGAGCAUGAGGGAUCUACCUCCACUUUGACACCGACAUCAGUAGCCUGUUCCAGGUGGGGCCCCUGCCCUCCCGCCUCCGCAUCACUAUCACCAUCGACAACAUGCUCAUCCCCUCCACCCUGCCACCAGGGAGCAUCCUCGACAUGGCCGACACCUCCACGUGGGUACCAUCCUGCUUCCCCCGCAGACACCCACCUUCCUGUCCCACCCCGUGGGGCAUUACAUUAGGGUAAUUACAUUAGUGUCAAGAUAUGCCAUAAUACCGAGAAUGGAGGAGUCUGAGGCCCUGGUCCAUCAACUGACAGCAUGAACUUCACGUCAAGAAGUGAGAUUGGUGAAUAAGUGAAGAGAGAAGGAAAAUUGGAGAUACAGCUGGAUGUAUGAACCCUGCUCUGAAAACACUCUUUAACGAGUUAGGGUCUUGCUCUGUCGCUCAGGCUGGAGUGCAGUGGCAUGAUCAUGGGUCACUGCAGCCUUGAACUCCUGGGCUUAAGGGAUCUUCUCAUCUCAGUCUCCUAAAUAGCUGGGACUACAGGCUCAGGCCACCAUGCCUG
This 1004-nucleotide non-coding RNA is filed under the name Pan troglodytes (chimpanzee). The record is from RNAcentral. Lineage: Eukaryota; Metazoa; Chordata; Mammalia; Primates; Hominidae.